UUCUUUCUUCAGGAUCUACAGUCUUUGCAGAAAUUCAGGGGGUCAUUGAUGCUUGCAUUAAACUAUCUGGAAUGCCUGAUCUCUCCCUUUCUUUCAUGAACCCUAGGCUUCUGGAUGAUGUCAGCUUUCACCCCUGCAUCCGGUUCAAGCGUUGGGAAUCUGAAAGAGUUUUGUCAUUUAUUCCUCCAGAUGGAAAUUUCCGACUCAUAUCAUACCGUGUCAGCUCACAAAAGUAUGUUGAUGCAUCAGCCAGAAUCUGCCAUCAUACAUAUCAAGUACAACUCACCUUUCCCUGUUUCUUUCUGAAAGUUGAGUACUUGAGGUCAUCACUGCUCACUUUAACCAUAGCUCACCAGGAGACCCAGUGAGAACGGGUGAAAAUACGCACCUAAAAUAAUCCGUAUACUUUGAAUGUAUGAGUGUAGAGUGGUACUAAGUGAGACUAGAGUAAAAUCUAUAGCC
This 462-nucleotide non-coding RNA is filed under the name Pan troglodytes (chimpanzee). RNAcentral also lists the same sequence under 1 other name. The record is from RNAcentral. Lineage: Eukaryota; Metazoa; Chordata; Mammalia; Primates; Hominidae.